Molecule: long non-coding RNA, 2236 nt
Filed under: Limulus polyphemus (Atlantic horseshoe crab)
Lineage: Eukaryota; Metazoa; Arthropoda; Merostomata; Xiphosura; Limulidae
Description: uncharacterized LOC111089589
Source: RNAcentral
UGUUUCAGGUGAAAGGACAUCCCCAUGUAGUGGCUUCCGUCAUUAGUACUGUAUAUCGACACCUCACAGAUUCUAUUGAAAAACUCCCAGUGUGUCAUAGGUUAUUGGAUGGUAGGAUAUGGUGUGUGUGCAUGAAGAGAUGAUACUCAGGUUUGUUUCAUGAUGUUCUGAACUUCUGUCUCCAUAAUUUAUGUUCUCUAUGAUUGUAGAUGUAUCUAUGGUAGAUAUUAUUACAUGUUAGGUAAACUUCUGCCCUCUAGGGAGUUAGAUAAUUUAACUUCGGGUUCUUUACGAAUUAUGUUGCUUACAUUUAUUAUUUAUAGGGAGUUGUUAGAUAAUUUAACCUCUGGUUCUUUACAGAAUUAUGUUACUUACAUUUAUUAUUUAUAGGGAGUUGUUAGAUAAUUUAACCUCUGGUUCUUUACAGAAUUAUGUUACUUACAUUUAUUAUUUAUAGGGAGUUGUUAGAUAAUUUAACCUCUGGUUCUUUACGAAUUAUGUUGCUUACAUUUAUUAUUUAUAAGGAGUUGUUAGAUAAUUUAACCUCUGGUUCUUUACAGAAUUAUGUUGUUUACAUUUAUUAUUCAUAGGGAGUUGUUAGAAUAAAAACUAAAAUAUUGUACAUGUACAACAGAAGAUAAAAAACAAAUUGGUUUUAAAACGAGGAAUUAUCUCCAGAAAGAUUCUGGUCAUCUUUCCAUUGCAACAGUACUGUUGAACAUAAGUUAUUUGAACCAUUUCAUAAAUACAAAAUACCCUCAACUUAGUGAUAAGUGUACAAGAUUUGCUGAAGCUGUAAGCAAGCAACUCAAUAAAUCAAACUUGAUUCCUACCAUAAAAUUAAGUUUUGUGUAGAAAACAUUUGGAUUAUCUAAAUUUGCUGCUCAGUGUUUCAUGGUAGUAUUAUCAUGUACACCAUGGUAAAAAUACCUAAACUUAAGAUUUAGGUAUUAUAUGGUUAACUUGAAAAGACAACUGAUGUUUAUAUUAGCUAAACUGGUUUUUGAUAUCGGCCAUGAUUAUUUAAGUUUUUGCUGCAUAACCAGGAGAUAUGAAUGCCCACAAAACUUUUGGUAACCAAAAGUUAAAAAAGCUAGUAAUAAAAUUUUCAAAUCUUUCAGCUGUCCUCUAGCAUCUCAUUCUAACAAUAAUAAAUUGUUGGGUUACAAUACAGUAAAACAAGUUUUAUUGUGAAGGAUCUUCUCAUAGCUUUGCAUUAACUGUUUGUCCGUGUGCACUGUUAUUUUCUUUAAAAUACUUUUCUAUUUGCAUAAAUAAUAUGGCUGACGAUAUUUCAAAUCAUUUGGAAGAUUUGUGUCCAUAAAGUUAGGACAUUAUUUUUUAUAUAGUAGUCCUGUUUAUCUCUUGGUUAUUUAAAUAUUUACAGCAACCUAGCAUGAUGAAACUGAAUAGCACAGACCGUUAGAAUAAACUGUGGGGAUGUUUGGACAAUAAGGUAUUUUUUGCUUAUAAAUUCUAGUGCCAAACUUUUAAUGGAAAAGUAUAAAAUUGGUUGUAUAAUUGUGGCUAGUUGUUAUUUCUAAUCAGUUUUGUUGCCUCCAGUCAACAUUUGUGGUAAACAUUGUUACAUUUCUAUUGGUGCUUUCUACAUUUUACUAAUUUCAUACCUGUUUGAAAGUUUUAUCAAUUUAGUAUGAUUGAAGUUGAACUUAUAAUACUAUCACAGUGAACACCAUCAAUGUUACUUUCUAUUAGCUUAAAAUGAUUUGGUGAAUUUUCUUUUUUUUUAUAUAGAUUAAAACUAUUUUGAAAUGUGCUAGAUCAAUAUUUUUACACAAGUUUUUCAAAAUUAUUGUGAUUAAAGUUUAUUUUUUCUUAAAGGUAACUAUUCGUGGAAGUUAUGCAAAUAAUGAUACUGUUAUUAGCUAUAUUUUUUAAUGUUGUAAUUUAGACGUUAACUAGAGGGUGCAUAAUUAGAUUGAAAAGUUUAAAUGUAGGCCUAGAGAGCUCUAAAAUUUUUGAAGUUUGGGUUUCUAAGUAAAUUCAAAAAGUAGAUUAUAAAUACAGGGUUCUGUGAAGCAUCACAAAGAUAGUUGUUUCUAAUCAGUUUCUUUCGGUUAGCAGUGAAUUAGUAUUUAAUUUUUAGUUACUUGAUUGAUCAGCCAUUAAGUUUUAUAAAAUAAGUUUAUUUUGUAGUUAGUCUAGUGCAGUUAGUACCACUGUCUUUGAGCUUUUAGAAAAUGUUAAGGAAGAAAUAAAAUUAUUUUUACAUGGA